AUACGGAGGGUGCAAGCGUUACUCGGAAUCACUGGGCGUAAAGCGCGCGCAGGCGGUCUUUUAAGUUGGAUGUGAAAGCCUACGGCUCAACCGUAGAACUGCAUCCAAAACUAUUAGACUAGAGUGUGGGAGAGGAAGAUGGAAUUAGUUGUGUAGGGGUAAAAUCCGUAGAGAUAGCUAGGAAUACCAAAAGCGAAGGCAAUCUUCUGGAACAUUACUGACGCUCAGGCGCGAAAGCGUGGGGAGCAAACAGGAUUAGAAACCCCGGUAGUCC
RNAcentral lists this ribosomal RNA (274 nucleotides) under uncultured bacterium. RNAcentral describes it as "partial 16S ribosomal RNA". It matches the Rfam family "Bacterial small subunit ribosomal RNA", at positions 523 to 796 of the family's 1533-position model. The record is from RNAcentral.